Long non-coding RNA from Papaver somniferum (opium poppy), 938 nucleotides. RefSeq lists it as uncharacterized. NCBI's taxonomy places the organism in Eukaryota, Viridiplantae, Streptophyta, Magnoliopsida, Ranunculales, Papaveraceae. The record is from RefSeq and is a predicted model, not a curated record. The transcript has 3 exons.
CCGAAUUCUACUCUCUCUCAUCUUUCUGCUUCUGGAUUUGUGGACCUAGAGUUUCUGCUGAUUCUUUUUGGUUUUCAGUUGAUUUUUGGUUAUGAAUCAAAGGUACAUAUAUGGCGUACUUACAUUUUGGAUCUAAUGAAAGCUGAUGAUUCUCAGAGAAGUAUUGCAUAUGGAUUUUGCAGCUUCAUUUGGUAUAAUUUGGCAGUGCGUACAUGUUGCACUGCUGAAAAGUCACAGUGUACAUACGUUACACUGACGAGAAAUCAGUGUAUAAAUGCUGCACUCUGUUAAAAUCAAAGUCUACACUUCAUAGAACAUCACAGUAGCUGCUGGUUUUUGCUGCAUAACUAAUGAACAAAAAGAACGCUGGCCAAAUGUGAAAGUGAAGUUCUUUUUCCUACUAGUUGGUUUUUUUCGAGCCACACAAAUGAUUUUAUUAAUCUCUUAUCUUGCUUUAAGUUUGGUCAACUAUUAUUUUGCACUAAGCAUAACCAAGUAAUCCGCUUGUAUUUUUUAUACAUUUUCUGAUCAUCUCAGAAGGGGGAACGAACAUGACGUGCCUGUUGAUCUGGUUGCGCAAAGUCAUUCGUACAAGCAGAGAUUGGUACACUUUACCAACAUAGCCCUUCUCUGCUGAUGAUUGCAAUCAUGGGUUGGUAGUCGUCCUCGUAUCCACAAUACAAGCCUUUUGGGAUGGUUGCUCAAAUAGUUCAAGGUGAAGGUGUACGUGCUUUGUAGAACAAGGUUAUUCCGAGUGUAGGAAUAGUCUUCAUGACUGAUCUGUAAUCUUUGUUGAUUCAUUUUUUACUAUAUAUUUUUUGUAUCUUAUGUACUAUUUUUCUUUGUAAUGAACUGUAUCAGAAGUUAUGGUUUGGAUUUGACGAAUUCGACUGAGUUGUUUUAAUCGUAUGGUCCUACUUAAACUGGACAUAUGUUGU